Molecule: long non-coding RNA, 707 nt
Organism: Myotis brandtii (Brandt's bat)
Lineage: Eukaryota; Metazoa; Chordata; Mammalia; Chiroptera; Vespertilionidae
Exons: 2
Source: RefSeq, a predicted model, not a curated record
GCACAUUAUGGCAGAUCUUUUAGAGGUUUACAUUAUGAGGUACUCAGAUAUUUUACCUAUCUGAGAUUAUUAUGCAUAUAAAAGGAAGUGGUAUACUAAGAUUUACUAAUACUAAGCCUCAGGAUGAACUCAUUUGUGUCAGUACUAUAACUAUCCCUGGCUUAUUUUUAGAUGUGGGGUUCUCUUUUGCUUUAAAAAUGUGUGCAUCAGCCUUCGCUGGUGUGGUACAGUGGUUUGGGCAUCAUCCCAUGCACCAAAAAGUUGCAGUUGAUUUCUCGUCUACUCACACUGGGUCGUUAUUUUUAUACUGUUACAUUCUCUGUAUCACGGGGGUUGACCGAUCCUUAUAUUCAUCACACUCUUCACAGUGGAUGAAUAAAGUAGUUGUUCAUAAGGAAACAGGAUCAUUGCCAAAAUAUAUCCUACUAAAACAACCAGUGAUCUUUUGAAGCCUACUUUUCUGACUUUUGCAAGUGGGAUAUAAAACAGGUCAUAACAUUGCCUAGCACGUAAGUAAAAUUUCAGUUGUAUUUCAUCAGAAAUCUGUUUAGGUCUGCUUUUUAUAAAAAUAAAAUAAACUUCUGCAUACUCCCAAUUGUAAACCUAUUUUGCCCCACCCUGUACAUAAACUAUAUCAUUUACAAUAAAGGUGAUACAUAUGUCAUGUCUUUUGCAAAAUAUAAAAUAAAUCUAAUUUCUAACUAAAA